Molecule: long non-coding RNA, 115 nt
Organism: Ipomoea nil (Japanese morning glory)
Lineage: Eukaryota; Viridiplantae; Streptophyta; Magnoliopsida; Solanales; Convolvulaceae
Exons: 3
Source: RefSeq, a predicted model, not a curated record
CAACGGAUGGGCAAGCUUAUUUUUAAAUUGGAGCCUUAAGGCACCUUUUAUAGGAGCCUCAGGGCUCCCAUGCCACUUUUUCCACCGAUGUGGGAAAAACUGGAAACUGGAUAAA